This 301-nucleotide ribosomal RNA is filed under the name uncultured bacterium. Its description in RNAcentral is "partial 16S ribosomal RNA". It matches the Rfam family "Bacterial small subunit ribosomal RNA", at positions 509 to 807 of the family's 1533-position model. The record is from RNAcentral.
CAGUAGCCACGGUAAUACGUAGGUGGCAAGCGUUGUCCGGAAUUAUUGGGCGUAAAGGGCGCGCAGGCGGCUGCGUAAGUCUGUCUAGAAAGUGCGGGGCUAAACCCCGUGAGAGGAUGGAAACCGGACAGCUGAGAGUGUCGGAGAGGAAAGCGGAAUUCCUAGCGUAGCGGUGAAAUGCGUAGAUAUUAGGAGGAACACCGGUGGCGAAAGCGGCUUUCUGGACGACAACUGACGCUGAGGCGCGAAAGCUAGGGGAGCGAACGGGAUUAGAUACCCCAGUAGUCCCUGUCUCUUAUAC